Molecule: small nucleolar RNA, 100 nt
Organism: Pristis pectinata (smalltooth sawfish)
Lineage: Eukaryota; Metazoa; Chordata; Chondrichthyes; Rhinopristiformes; Pristidae
Product: small nucleolar RNA U13
Exons: 1
Source: RefSeq, a predicted model, not a curated record
GUCCUUCUGCUUCAGAAAUGUAAUGAAUGGGUCUUUCACGUGCAUGCGUAAAAUGUGUCGCCCAUAUUUGUUACGACGGGGGCACAUCACCCUUCUGACU